Molecule: ribosomal RNA, 713 nt
Filed under: Comamonas sp. J42
Lineage: Bacteria; Pseudomonadati; Pseudomonadota; Betaproteobacteria; Burkholderiales; Comamonadaceae
Description: bacterial SSU rRNA
Rfam family: Bacterial small subunit ribosomal RNA
Source: RNAcentral
CGGUAACAGGUCUUCGGAUGCUGACGAGUGGCGAACGGGUGAGUAAUACAUCGGAACGUGCCUAGUAGUGGGGGAUAACUACUCGAAAGAGUAGCUAAUACCGCAUGAGAUCUACGGAUGAAAGCAGGGGAUCGCAAGACCUUGUGCUACUAGAGCGGCUGAUGGCAGAUUAGGUAGUUGGUGGGAUAAAAGCUUACCAAGCCGACGAUCUGUAGCUGGUCUGAGAGGACGAUCAGCCACACUGGGACUGAGACACGGCCCAGACUCCUACGGGAGGCAGCAGUGGGGAAUUUUGGACAAUGGGCGAAAGCCUGAUCCAGCAAUGCCGCGUGCAGGAUGAAGGCCUUCGGGUUGUAAACUGCUUUUGUACGGAACGAAAAGCUUUGGGUUAAUACCCUGGAGUCAUGACGGUACCGUAAGAAUAAGCACCGGCUAACUACGUGCCAGCAGCCGCGGUAAUACGUAGGGUGCAAGCGUUAAUCGGAAUUACUGGGCGUAAAGCGUGCGCAGGCGGUUUUGUAAGACAGAGGUGAAAUCCCCGGGCUCAACCUGGGAACUGCCUUUGUGACUGCAAGGCUAGAGUACGGCAGAGGGGGGUGGAAUUCCGCGUGUAGCAGUGAAAUGCGUAGAUAUGCGGAGGAACACCGAUGGCGAAGGCAACCCCCUGGGCCUGUACUGACGCUCAUGCACGAAAGCGUGGGGAGCAAACAGGA